GGUGCUAUAGUGUAGUGGUUAUCACUCGGGAUUUUGACUUGGUUGCUCUUUCCCGAAACCCAGGUUCGAACCCUGGUAGCACCU
Non-coding RNA from Trametes coccinea BRFM310, 84 nucleotides. The record is from the annotation of a GenBank genome assembly. NCBI's taxonomy places the organism in Eukaryota, Fungi, Basidiomycota, Agaricomycetes, Polyporales, Polyporaceae.